RNAcentral lists this ribosomal RNA (695 nucleotides) under Kribbella sp. L2141. RNAcentral's name for it is "bacterial SSU rRNA". It matches the Rfam family "Bacterial small subunit ribosomal RNA", at positions 24 to 734 of the family's 1533-position model. Lineage: Bacteria; Bacillati; Actinomycetota; Actinomycetes; Propionibacteriales; Kribbellaceae. The record is from RNAcentral.
UCAGGACGAACGCUGGCGGCGUGCUUAACACAUGCAAGUCGAGCGGUAAGGCCCCUUCGGGGGUACACGAGCGGCGAACGGGUGAGUAACACGUGAGCAACCUACCCUCAACUUUGGGAUAAGCCUCGGAAACGGGGUCUAAUACCGGAUAUGAUCUCCUGCUUCAUGGUGGGGGGUUGAAAGUUCUGGCGGUUGGGGAUGGGCUCGCGGCCUAUCAGCUUGUUGGUGGGGUAAUGGCCUACCAAGGCGUCGACGGGUAGCCGGCCUGAGAGGGCGACCGGCCACACUGGGACUGAGACACGGCCCAGACUCCUACGGGAGGCAGCAGUGGGGAAUAUUGCGCAAUGGACGAAAGUCUGACGCAGCAACGCCGCGUGAGGGAUGACGGCCUUCGGGUUGUAAACCUCUUUCAGCAGGGACGAAGCGAGAGUGACGGUACCUGCAGAAGAAGGACCGGCCAACUACGUGCCAGCAGCCGCGGUAAUACGUAGGGUCCGAGCGUUGUCCGGAAUUAUUGGGCGUAAAGGGCUCGUAGGCGGUUCGUCACGUCGGGAGUGAAAACUCGGAGCUUAACUCCGAGCCUGCUUCCGAUACGGGCAGACUAGAGGUAGGCAGGGGAGAGCGGAACUCCUGGUGUAGCGGUGGAAUGCGCAGAUAUCAGGAAGAACACCGGUGGCGAAGGCGGCUCUCUGGGC